AUACCAGCGCGUUCGGAGACACGACAGUGCAAGGAAGUCGUCAGGGCGAGGACUGUAGCGGGCAUAAACAGUGAGAGGAAGAAGGCGGCAAGGACACGGCGAGUCCGCGACAUCGCAACAAGCGGCAAAACGUGAAGACUGAAUGAUUGACAACCUGACCACCUCUGAUGUCACUUCUGCUGUCUGCUCCCCUGGACCCGCCUCUUCCUGCCUGGCCUGUACUUAACAGGAAGUGUCGCCAUCCUUAGCAGAAACCCCGUCUGGCCCUGAUGACAUCACUUCCAGUUCCGGAUCCUUGGAUGACGUCACUUCUGGUGAAGAACCCAUGACCGAAGAGACUUCCUGUUCCGGCCCUUUUGAUGACGUGACAUCUGGGUCUGAACCUAUGGAAGAGGACCCUUCUGCUUCCGCCCUCGAUGACUUCAUUUCCUUUAAUACCGCCAUAUUUGACUAACCUGAUCAGUUCUGUUUGGACUCCAU
Erpetoichthys calabaricus (reedfish) is the source of this 480-nucleotide long non-coding RNA. RefSeq lists it as uncharacterized. NCBI's taxonomy places the organism in Eukaryota, Metazoa, Chordata, Cladistia, Polypteriformes, Polypteridae. The transcript is spliced from 3 exons. The record is from RefSeq and is a predicted model, not a curated record.